CCUUUCGACUACUACGCGGCUGCUAAGUUAUAGCCGCAUGGCUGGUUUCAGGGGAUCCACUUAAUCUUAAUACGGGCUAGUGGACAGUGCCUCUAAACAGUUGCAUUUAUGUUUUUCCAGGUCGGGUCGAUCGAAAUCGCUCGCUGCUGGGCGACAAGGUUGUGGGAAAUGCUCAGUUCCAAACAGCCUGGGUGUCAGCCUUUGGGAUCAACGCGUGUUCCUGAUAAUGGAGCAGAGCACUCAACACACACAGUGUCUCUCUCUCGCCCUCUCUCUCAUCUCUCUCUCUCACACACACACGAGAUUGAUUUGCUU
RNAcentral lists this long non-coding RNA (315 nucleotides) under Selaginella moellendorffii. RNAcentral describes it as "long non-coding RNA (SMOE_LNC000832)". The record is from RNAcentral. Lineage: Eukaryota; Viridiplantae; Streptophyta; Lycopodiopsida; Selaginellales; Selaginellaceae.